GACGAACGCUGGCGGCGUGCUUAACACAUGCAAGUCGAACGGAAAGGCCCUUCGGGUACUCGAGUGGCGAACGGGUGAGUAACACGUGGGUGAUCUGCCCUGCACUUCGGGAUAAGCCUGGGAAACUGGGUCUAAUACCGGAUAUGACCGCAUGAUGCAUGUUGUGUGGUGGAAAGCUUUUGCGGUGUGGGAUGGGCCCGCGGCCUAUCAGCUUGUUGGUGGGGUCAAGGCCUACCAAGGCGACGACGGGUAGCCGGCCUGAGAGGGUGACCGGCCACACUGGGACUGAGAUACGGCCCAGACUCCUACGGGAGGCAGCAGUGGGGAAUAUUGCACAAUGGGCGCAAGCCUGAUGCAGCGACGCCGCGUGAGGGACGACGGCCUCGG
RNAcentral lists this ribosomal RNA (387 nucleotides) under uncultured bacterium. RNAcentral's name for it is "bacterial SSU rRNA". It matches the Rfam family "Bacterial small subunit ribosomal RNA", at positions 28 to 420 of the family's 1533-position model. The record is from RNAcentral.